GUUUUUAUACAAAUUGAUGAUCAAGAUACUUCUGAUUGUCUCCUCUUCCAAACUGAAAAGGGGAAAUUGAAACAGAAUUAGGAAAGAAAAAACUCAAAAAAGCCAUGAAGGCAAAAAUCAAGGGAAAUAACUGAUUGUGAGCCCCAGGAGGACAAGGAUGCGGACAACGUAAUUACCACCAGCACAUGCUUUCCUCAGAAGUCUCCUAUCCUUCCUUCCACCCACAUCUCCGCUUUGGAAAAAAGACAUUAAUAUGUGGAAAAUUAUGUUCUGCUACUACCUGGAUAAGAAAACACCGAACAAAUUCAGCACCUACAGGACCACUCAGUGUGAUGGUCAUAACUAAUGUGACACCUGAGUUGAAUCCAUCCCGACUCCACAUAUACCCUGGAGCUUGCUGUCAUGGACAGAGGCAAGAGAUUUCUCAUUCUUCCCUUCUGUGUGCAGAACAUGUGGCUCCAGGACUCACCAUUUUAAAUCAGUGAGGGAAUCACAUGCAGCCAAAGCCCUUCCCAUAUUUGUCCUCUUGCUCUAAAUCAAAAGCAUUGCCUUUACCUUCUGAUUUUUUUAGCAGCAAAUAAAACAUUUUAACAUUAGAAACCAC
RNAcentral lists this long non-coding RNA (604 nucleotides) under Heterocephalus glaber (naked mole-rat). Its description in RNAcentral is "lncRNA (ENSHGLG00000039239.1)". Lineage: Eukaryota; Metazoa; Chordata; Mammalia; Rodentia; Bathyergidae. The record is from RNAcentral.